UUUAAUAUCAGAACAUAGCAAAUUAAACUAAAAUUAAUCAUAUAAACGAUGUCUAUGAAAGCUUACUAAUGCAUAAUAUUUUGUCUUGAAACCAAAAUAAGAAUGUGAUAAUGAUUUCGCUUAUUUCGUUUCAGCUUUUGAAAGAUACCAUAUCCCCGACUCUUGAUUACAACUAGUGCGCUGUCUUCAAAUUUGCAAUACGGCGAAAGUGCAGAAAGUACAAUGCACCCAUAAUACGGGACAGUUGUGUUUUGUAUGUGCUGGAACCCCACCGUCUGCUCGAAGACGUCGGCCGUUCGUGACUCAAAGAUACCAAUUUUCAGGUUUUCUUCCGAUUUUACAACCACAUUGACAUUGACUUUGAGCGUAGGAUUCCUAAAUGAGGGUCAGAUGUUGUUGUGGUAUAUCGGACUCCUCAGCGUGGCUUCCUGAUUGUGAUAGCAAGCAAGCUGUUUUUAUUCCAUCAGAUGUAAGGUAUUAAAACCCUGGCAAGCAGUGGUCUUCCAUCAAAACAACAACUUUACAAACAAUUUGCAAGCUCAGUAUUUUACUUGGAUUGGAUUUUUAACAGGAAACAAGGUAUGACCUUUCUUACACUCAAAAGAUAUCAACGAACCAGUCAAUGACAUGUACGUGUACAGGUACUCGUUCUUUCACAGUUUCACCACUACAUGUAAGUUGCCAUCUUACAUGUCUUUAACACAUGUACAUACAUUUAAUUGCGGUUUCUCAUGCCACUGUAUGCAUACAUGUAAGUGACAACUUCUCAUUAACUGAUGAAUCAUCCCUUAUGAUUGCCAAGUCCAAAUGCAGGAAUAUUUGCCACCCCUUGUGGUAUUUCCAAUCUGUUUUGAUAGCUACCCUGGAGUUGAUACCUAGAGAUGGG
RNAcentral lists this long non-coding RNA (886 nucleotides) under Strongylocentrotus purpuratus (purple sea urchin). RNAcentral's name for it is "uncharacterized LOC115929723, transcript variant X2". The record is from RNAcentral. Lineage: Eukaryota; Metazoa; Echinodermata; Echinoidea; Camarodonta; Strongylocentrotidae.